GAUGAAGAACGUAGCGAAAUGCGAUACGUAAUGUGAAUUGCAGAAUUCAGUGAAUCAUCGAGUCUUUGAACGCACAUUGCGCCCCCUGGUAUUCCGGGGGGCAUGCCUGUCCGAGCGUCAUUGCUGCCCUCAAGCACGGCUUGUGUGUUGGGCCUCCGUCCUCCUCCCGGGGGACGGGCCCGAAAGGCAGCGGCGGCACCGCGUCCGGUCCUCGAGCGUAUGGGGCUUCGUCACCCGCUCUUGUAGGACCGGCCGGCGCUUGCCGACACAUCAAUCUUUUUUCCAGGUUGACCUCGGAUCAGGUAGGGAUACCCGCUGAACUUAAGCAUAUCAAUAAGCGGAGGA
RNAcentral lists this unclassified non-coding RNA (345 nucleotides) under soil metagenome. RNAcentral describes it as "partial contains 5.8S ribosomal RNA, internal transcribed spacer 2, and large subunit ribosomal RNA". The stretch from base 1 to 120 matches the Rfam family "5.8S ribosomal RNA", at positions 35 to 154 of the family's 154-position model. The record is from RNAcentral.